UACUUGUACACUUUUACUACUGGAUAACCGUAGUAAUUCUAGAGCUAAUACAUAUGAAAAAAAGCCCUUGAUUUAUUUCAGAGGCUGCAUUUAUUAGACUCAAAACCAAAUCGCUUUCUCCAAAACUUUGUUUUGGAGAGAAAAAACGAAUGGUGAUUCAUAAUAACUAAGCUAAUCGAAAUUAAAUAAGAAAAUAAUAGAUGCCUUCGGGUUGUUUAUUGUUUUCUUUUUCGAUGCUUCAUUCAAAUUUCUGCCCUAUCAGCUUUCGAUGGUAGGAUAUUGGCCUACCAUGGCUAUAACGGGUAACGGGGAAUCAGGGUUCGAUUCCGGAGAGGGAGCUUGAGAAAUGGCUACCACAUCCAAGGAUGGCAGCAGGCGCGCAAAUUACCCAAUCCCAAUACGGGGAGGUAGUGACAAUAAAUAACAAUGUUGGAAUAUUUUAAAAAUUCUAACAAUUGGAAUGAGAGUAAUUUAGACCUCUUCUCGAGGAUCCAUUGGAGGGCAAGUCUGGUGCCAGCAGCCGCGGUAAUACCAGCUCCAAUAGCGUAUGUUAAAGUUGUUGCAGUUAAAAAGCUCGUAGUCUAAACUGCAAAGUUUUUAUGGAAAUGGUGUUUUUCUUUUUCCAAAGAGUUUUCCUUUGAAAAAAUUGAUUUUUUUUCAAAAGUCUUUAACGAUUUGGAUCUAAGUUAAGCAUCCCAACUUUGCUUGUACUUUGGAGAACAAAUGCUAAAUUUCCUUUCGAGGGAAUUCAACAUUUGGAUUCCAAUUGUUUACUUUGAGAAAACUAGAGUGUUCAAAGCAGGCGAAAUUAAAAUUUCUCUCGCAACUGAAUACAUUAGCAUGGGAUAAUAAAAUAGGACAUUAUAGAGAGAAAGUCUUUUCAUUUUAAGAGUUAAAUUUCAAAUUUAUUUGAUUUUUAAUUUUCUUAAUUUGAAAGUUUCUCUUUUUGGUCCUAUUAUGUUUUUGAUUAGUGGUCCAAGGACCAAUGUAAUGAUUAAUAGGAACGGUUGGGGACAUUCAUAUUGCGUGGCUAGAGGUGAAAUUCUUGGAUUCACGCAAGAUGAACUGCUGCGAAAGCGUUUGUCAAAGACGUUUUCAUUGAUCAAGAACGAAAGUUAGGGGAGCAAAGACGAUCAGAUACCGUCGUAGUCCUAACUAUAAACGAUGCCGACUAGGGAUCGGGUGGGGCGUUAAUAUAAAAUUGGAUUACCGUUUGUUUUAAUUUACUAACAACUUAAAACUGUUUUCCAAGAAAUGACCCCAUCGGCACCUCAAUUUGAUACUUCUCAAUGGGAAACCAAAGUUUUUGGGUUCCGGGGGGAGUAUGGUCGCAAGGCUGAAACUUAAAGGAAUUGACGGAAGGGCACCACCAGGAAGUGGAGUUUGCGGCUUAAUUUGACUCAACACGGGAAAACUCACCAGGCCCAGACAUGGUAAGGAUUGACAGAUUGAGAGCUCUUUCUUGAUUCCAUGAAAGGUGGCGCAUGGCCGUUCUUAGUUGGUGGAGUGAUUUGUCUGGUUAAUUCCGUUAACGAACGAGACCUUGGCCUGCUAACUAGGGGGGGUUAUCGUUUGGAGAAAAUUAAAUAGAGUUAUUAAUUUAGUUAUUAGCUUUCGGGUUAUUAGCUAAUUGAUGACUGUUAUUUGCUCAUUCAUAUUUUGCGAUAGCACCUAAGAUUUUUAAAAUCUUUCAACUUUUUCUUUGGGGAUAAGGAAAGGGAAAUUGAAGCAAAUAGAGUUGGAGACUCCGGCUUUCAUCUUUAUUCUUCUUUUUCAUUAAACCUUUGUUUGUUCUUAUGAAGGAGGAAAUCCUUCUUAGAGGGACUAUCUGCGUUUUUUUAACUAGCAGAUGGAAGCUCGAGGCAAUAACAGGUCUGUGAUGCCCUUAGAUGUCCUGGGCUGCACGCGUACUACACUGACGAAUUCAACAAGCGAUUUAAAUUUGACUUUGAGGAUAAGGUAAGGUUACUUGUAACUUUGCUUUGUUUUCUUGGUUAAAAACCUUGGCAGAAAUGUCUGGGUAAUCUCUUUAAAGUUCGUCGUGCUAGGGAUAGAUGAUUGUAAUUAUUCGUCUUG
RNAcentral lists this ribosomal RNA (2076 nucleotides) under uncultured Centroheliozoa. RNAcentral's name for it is "partial 18S ribosomal RNA". It matches the Rfam family "Eukaryotic small subunit ribosomal RNA", at positions 118 to 1601 of the family's 1831-position model. Lineage: Eukaryota; Centroplasthelida. The record is from RNAcentral.